AAGCGGAGGAAAAGAAACCAACAGGGAUUGCCUUAGUAGCGGCGAGUGAAGCGGCAAAAGCUCAAAUUUGAAAUCUGGCUCUUUCAGAGUCCGAGUUGUAAUUUGAAGAAGGUAUCUUUGGGUCUGGCUCUUGUCUAUGUUUCUUGGAACAGAACGUCACAGAGGGUGAGAAUCCCGUGCGAUGAGAUGAUCCAGGCCUAUGUAAAGUUCCUUCGAAGAGUCGAGUUGUUUGGGAAUGCAGCUCUAAGUGGGUGGUAAAUUCCAUCUAAAGCUAAAUAUUGGCGAGAGACCGAUAGCGAACAAGUACAGUGAUGGAAAGAUGAAAAGAACUUUGAAAAGAGAGUGAAAAAGUACGUGAAAUUGUUGAAAGGGAAGGGCUUGAGAUCAGACUUGGUAUUUUGUAUGUUACUUCUUCGGGGGUGGCCUCUACAGUUUAUCGGGCCAGCAUCAGUUUGGGCGGUAGGAGAAUUGCGUUGGAAUGUGGCACGGCUUCGGUUGUGUGUUAUAGCCUUCGUCGAUACUGCCAGCCUAGACUGAGGACUGCGGUUUAUACCUAGGAUGUUGGCAUAAUGAUCUUAAGUCGCCCGUCUUGAA
RNAcentral lists this ribosomal RNA (594 nucleotides) under Candida tropicalis. RNAcentral's name for it is "eukaryotic LSU rRNA". It matches the Rfam family "Eukaryotic large subunit ribosomal RNA", at positions 48 to 658 of the family's 3401-position model. Lineage: Eukaryota; Fungi; Ascomycota; Pichiomycetes; Serinales; Debaryomycetaceae. The record is from RNAcentral.